Molecule: ribosomal RNA, 494 nt
Filed under: uncultured bacterium
Lineage: Bacteria
Description: bacterial SSU rRNA
Rfam family: Bacterial small subunit ribosomal RNA
Source: RNAcentral
GAUCCUGGCUCAGGAUGAACGCUGGCGGCGUGCUUAACACAUGCAAGUCGAACGAAGCAGCUUCUGCUGCAAGAAGCUGACUAGUGGCGGACGGGUGAGUAACGCGUGGGUAACCUGCCUCAUACAGGGGGAUAACAGUUGGAAACGACUGCUAAGACCGCAUAACCCGCUAGUGUCGCGAUCGACACGGACGGAAAAAUAUUUAUAGGUAUGGAGAGUGGGCCCGCGUCUGAUUAGCUAGUUGGUAAGGUAACGGCUUACCAAGGCGACGAUCAGUAGCCGACUUGAGAGAGUGAUCGGCCACAUGGGACUGAGACACGGCCCAAACUCCUACGGGAGGCAGGCAGUGGGGAAUAUUGGACAAUGGGGGAAACCCUGAUCCAGCCGACGCCGCGUGAGUGAAGAAGUAUUUCGGUAUGUAAAGCUCUAUCAGCAGGGAAGAUAAUGACAGUACCUGACUAAGAAGCCCCGGCUAACUACGUGCCAGCCGCCGC